AUUGAACGCUGGCGGCAUGCUUUACACAUGCAAGUCGAACGGCAGCACAGCAGAGGUAACUCUGUGGGUGGCGAGUGGCGAACGGGUGAGUAAUACAUCGGAACGUACCCUGUUGUGGGGGAUAACUACGCGGAAGCGUAGCUAAUACCGCAUACGCCCUGAGGGGGAAAGCGGGGGACCCUAAAUAGAGCGCACUGGGGAGUGCGUUGUAUUUAGGGCCUCGCGCAAUAGGAGCGGCCGAUGUCGGAUUAGCUAGUUGGUGAGGUAAAGGCUUACCAAGGCGACGAUCCGUAGCUGGUCUGAGAGGAUGAUCAGCCACACUGGGGACUGAGACACGGCCCAGACUCCUACGGGAGGCAGGCAGUGGGGAAUUUUGGACAAUGGGGCAAACCCCUGGAUCCACGCCAUGCCGCGUGAGUGAAGAAGGCCU
This 430-nucleotide ribosomal RNA is filed under the name uncultured bacterium. Its description in RNAcentral is "bacterial SSU rRNA". It matches the Rfam family "Bacterial small subunit ribosomal RNA", at positions 29 to 417 of the family's 1533-position model. The record is from RNAcentral.